UACGUAGGGAGCAAGCGUUAUCCGGAUUUAUUGGGUGUAAAGGGUGCGUAGACGGGAAGUCAAGUUAGUUGUGAAAUCCCUCGGCUCAACUGAGGAACUGCAACUAAAACUAACUUUCUUGAGUGCUGGAGAGGAAAGUGGAAUUCCUAGUGUAGCGGUGAAAUGCGUAGAUAUUAGGAGGAACACCAGUGGCGAAGGCGACUUUCUGGACAGUAACUGACGUUGAGGCACGAAAGUGUGGGGAGCAAACAGG
This 253-nucleotide ribosomal RNA is filed under the name uncultured bacterium. Its description in RNAcentral is "partial 16S ribosomal RNA". It matches the Rfam family "Bacterial small subunit ribosomal RNA", at positions 524 to 776 of the family's 1533-position model. The record is from RNAcentral.